GAGGAUGUAGCUCAAUGGUAGAGCACUUGUCUGGCACAUGCAUAGCCCUGAGUUCAAUCCUCAGCAUUGUAA
Molecule: transfer RNA, 72 nt
Filed under: Heterocephalus glaber (naked mole-rat)
Lineage: Eukaryota; Metazoa; Chordata; Mammalia; Rodentia; Bathyergidae
Rfam family: tRNA
About the family: Transfer RNA (tRNA) molecules are approximately 80 nucleotides in length. Their secondary structure includes four short double-helical elements and three loops (D, anti-codon, and T loops).
Source: Rfam by way of RNAcentral